AGAGUUUGAUCCUGGCUCAGAACGAACGCUGGCGGCAGGCUUAACACAUGCAAGUCGAACGCGUGUAGCAAUACACGAGUGGCGCACGGGUGAGUAACGCGUGGAUAUCUGCCUUUUGGUUCGGAAUAACUCCGGGAAACUGGAGCUAAUACCGGAUGGUUCCUUCGGGAUAAAGAUUUAUCGCCAAAAGAUGAGUCCGCGUACGAUUAGCUAGUUGGUGAGGUAAUGGCUCACCAAGGCGACGAUCGUUAGCUGGUCUGAGAGGACGAUCAGCCACACUGGGACUGAGACACGGCCCAGACUCCUACGGGAGGCAGCAGUGGGGAGUAUUGGACAAUGGGGGCAACCCUGAUCCAGCCAUGCCGCGUGAGUGAUGAAGGCCUUCGGGUUGUAAAGCUCUUUUGGCGGGGACGAUGAUGACGGUACCCGCAGAAUAAGCCCCGGCUAACUUCGUGCCAGCAGCCGCGGUAAU
Molecule: ribosomal RNA, 472 nt
Filed under: uncultured bacterium
Lineage: Bacteria
Description: bacterial SSU rRNA
Rfam family: Bacterial small subunit ribosomal RNA
Source: RNAcentral